RNAcentral lists this ribosomal RNA (505 nucleotides) under uncultured bacterium. RNAcentral's name for it is "bacterial SSU rRNA". It matches the Rfam family "Bacterial small subunit ribosomal RNA", at positions 32 to 513 of the family's 1533-position model. The record is from RNAcentral.
AAUCAACGCUGGCGGCGUGCCUAACACAUGCAAGUCGAACGAGAAGGUGACUUCGGUCACUGGAUAGUGGCGUCCGGGUGAGUAACACGUAGGUAAUCUACCUUCGGGUGGGGAAUAACGUCUCGAAAGAGACGCUAAUACCGCAUAAUGCAGCGGCACCUAAUGGUGAUUAGUUGUUAAAGCGGGGGAUCUUCGGACCUCGCGCCUGAAGAGGAGCCUGCGGCAGAUUAGCUAGUUGGUGAGGUAAUGGCUCACCAAGGCUUCGAUCUGUAGCUGGUCUGAGAGGACGGCCAGCCACACUGGCACUGACACACGGGCCAGACUCCUACGGGAGGCAGCAGUGGGGAAUUUUGGGCAAUGGGCGAAAGCCUGACCCAGCAACGCCGCGUGAAGGAGGAAAUCCUUCGGGAUGUAAACUUCAUAAGUAAGGGAAGAAAGCUGCGGAUCGAAUAAGUCCGCAGUCCGACGGUACCUUACGUAAGCCACGGCUAACUACGUGCCAGCC